GGGCCCAUAGCUCAAUGGUAGAGCACCGGACUCAUAAUCCGUUGGUUCCAGGUUCGAGUCCUGGUGGGCCCACCG
Molecule: transfer RNA, 75 nt
Filed under: Bacteroidota bacterium
Lineage: Bacteria; Pseudomonadati; Bacteroidota
Description: Bacteroidetes bacterium (marine metagenome) tRNA-Met
Rfam family: tRNA
About the family: Transfer RNA (tRNA) molecules are approximately 80 nucleotides in length.
Source: RNAcentral